This 1339-nucleotide long non-coding RNA is filed under the name Anser brachyrhynchus (Pink-footed goose). RNAcentral's name for it is "lncRNA (ENSABRG00000011380.1)". Lineage: Eukaryota; Metazoa; Chordata; Aves; Anseriformes; Anatidae. The record is from RNAcentral.
UCCUUCCUUCCUUCCUUCCUUCCUUCUUCUCUUCUCUUUUCUUAUGUUUCCUCUUUUUAUUUAUCUUUUUUUUUUCUCUCUCUUUUUGUUUUACGUGCCCACCAACAACAGAACAAUACCCACCACCUUACCACAGUCAACAACGGGGCACCAGGUAUCAUCUCUCUAGAGCAGGGGCUCGCCGUGGCCUCACUCCCACACCCAGGUUACACCAGGACGCAAACCCAGCCUUGCACUGUGCUGAGAACCCCAUGGGAAGAUGCUGCUCGCUCAUCAGGCCCUGAACCAAAGCCUUGGAAGCUCUGCCUGCACACACUACGGGUAUGCAUGCUGCAGCCAGGACAAUCUGUCAUCAACAAACCCGCGCCAUCACCUAUUGUGGGAGCUUUGCUCACUUCUUGGUUGUUGAGUCUGUAUCUGCAGCGCACUUUGGUGGCUGGGGAGCGCAGUGCUGCCGCUGCGAGAUGUCUCCCUGCUGAUUCAGGUGCGCCACUCCACGCUGCCCUGACUUCCAGGCUACGUGCCUGAGGAAGAUGCUCUCAUCUCCAGCUGCCAACAGCUGACUUGGUUGCACUUCUGCCUCAGUCCCAGCCGUGUUUCUCAAGGUCCGCAGCCAACAAGUGACUUUCUGCGCCCACCCAAAACUCCACAGCAUUUGUGAUGCUCCAUAGGCCCCAAGAUGCCUUAACAGCUGAAACAUUUACAGCUUAUCUAAACCCAAAAAAUGAUAAACAGAAACUUUCCACGGCGACAGACUGAAAGCAAGGGCAGCCACACAGAUCAUAAAAUCCCUGGACUACAUCUAUUACUCAGAACUAAGUUUUGAGGAGACAAAGCAAAUGCUGCACAAAGAAAUUGUCCAAUUACUGCCCAUGGCUUAAGAUGUACAAAGAAGUAGGUCACGGAUUUUUCCCUGCCCAAUUUCCAGAUCACAUUAACGAGAUAAAUGGACAUGUCCUGUUCAGAUCUCUACACUCCAUCAUUAUUUGAUUGAAGUAUUUCCAGUUUUUCAGAAAAUGUCUCUUUAACCUUUCAAUUAAAUCUAAUACUUUUCAGAGGAGAAAAAAAAAAAAACAAAAACUUGAUUUUGAAUACCAAGCUGCUAGUAAAAUUUGUUUGAAAACCUGAAAUCUGUUUCUUCAGUUUAAUCCAGUCAGAUAGGACUGGGUGGAUGUACACUAGGUCAAACUGUGGCAAGCCUUUAUUCUUGCAUAAGCUGAAAGCUGCACGGCUGUUUAUUGCUGUCAUGGAUGUCCUUCUUGUGUAAAAUGAAAGAGAAAUUAAUGAAUGUGCACUUUGACUGAAUAAAAUUUUGACCUAAAAUUAAGACCGUGGUUGG